UGGUUUUCUUCAAUUUAAAGUUACUUUUGUGCGUCAGGCCAAAAUUAAUUCAAAAUGCUUUGACUGAACUCCCUAACUCAUUGGAUUUUAUUAGGAUAUUACUAUUAUUCUCCAGCACUUUUAACAUGAUCAGCUCUGGCUCAGGAGAUUGCGCAAGCCGGCAUGCACUCCACCACUUAAUUGCUUACUUACUUAGCUCUACACUGAGGACAAAGGAGCAACUUGACACAAAUUCAAGAGAUACAUGACGAGAGCAGGAUAUUUGGAUCACGAUCUAUCGGUGCAUCAACCCCAACCCCGGGCCCCAAACCCGCGGUGAACGAUUUUGAAUUGGCACACCUAGAAUUUCACGUCUGUUUAGACUGAUGCAUUACGUUCUGGCAUUUUCUUCACUUAAGACAUUCCAGGAAUUUGAUAAAGAAGUAAUAACUGAACAUCGAGAACGUGACAUAAAGCAAGUGCAAAAUUAUAGAAAGGAUGAUUGUUCUACCAUAGAUGUUUGUCGUUCCUCUAAUGUUAAUCUUUUUAACCAAGAGAAAAUGAUUCUUGUCUUAACAGAUUAACGGUGAACUGGUCAAAUCAAUUUGUUGAAUUAAUGUGCUUUCAUUGCCUCAAGAACGAUCCGGCGGCUUAUUACUUGUUAGAGUUCUUCCGAAAUGUCCCACCAUGAGAUGGUUUUUAAUACCUUGAUCUGUUUUAAAGAAACAAUGCGAGGCAUCUCAAGUUGCAGUUUUGUAAUUCGAUGGCUGUUUACAACAGCAGUAAAGUUAAGCUCAUUCCGGUCAGGCUUACAGUAAUUAAGAGCACCGUUUUCGAUGCGGUGAUAACGAACUUUUUUUCGUUCUUAACGUCGACCUUGCCUUGGCAGUGCCAUACGAUGCCGACAAAAUAUUUGAACUUGCUUGUCAAACUCAAUACACCUAAGAAAUAAUAAAGUAGCAAUGCGUGGAUUUUGUGUUAUGACCAGACAAGCCCUGUUCCAGUUAUUUCAAUUAUGUCCCACGGCCUUAAUUCGACAUAUACCUCGUGGACUAUUGUAUCACACAGAAGACGAUUUAUUGAAUGUGGAAUAUCUCACGGUUGCUGUAGGGACAUUUGAAAAGAAUUGAGUGUUGAAAUAUUGCGAGACACGGUUAAAUCAUUUGCAUUCUGGCUCAACGCAACUCGUAUUACCCAAACAAUGGCGUACUCUAUUAGGUCUCCAGAUUUAGUGAUUGUGAAAAGAUCACGUCAGAGGAACGUUAGCAGUAUUUCUUCCACAACUUAAGGUUCUGACAGAUCUUCAAGUGCAAGAUAUUGUCGAGUUCCUGUCUGUUAUCAAACUAAAACGAAACGUUCUACCAAAGAGGUGUCAACCUGUCAUCGCCGGUACUCCACCAAAGGUGUUCCAGUUCUCAACCCGAAGACAAAAGGACAACCAAAGAAAAAGAGAAGCCUCAUAUCAAGGCAUUAAGGUCGGAAAUCCCCCGAAAUCCGUGAAAGUAUAUACUUAACAGCCUCCCCUGGUACCCCAAAAGAGUUAGCAUCCAACCGGAAGACCAAAUUAAAUUUUAUACCAGGAGAGAAUAGAGACCACCAAAGCAAGUAUCUUUUCCUACAGACAGCCAGGGCCAGUAGGGAAGGUCAAUAUAACUCACCAGGUCGUUUCAUUAUGUCUCUUACAAUGAGGUGUAGUUAAUAACCAUAAACUAAACUUAAGCAAUUCAUUUUUAGGCAGACCCACGGCGUAAGUGGCGAUAGAUGCAGUUUCCUCAUAUAUUACUCAGCCUGCCAACGCAUAAGGAUUUCCGCCGGUUGUUUGCUAGACAGGAGGGCCUUUCGAGCAAUUGAACAAAUUAUUAUACAAGCUAAUGUCACAGUGGACCAGAUCCACAUAAUUCUCGUGCUGACAAGUUCACGACGACGGCUAUCUCGUUUUACUAACUGCAAAAACAGUAAUCAAGAAAGUAUUUCUGACUGAAGAACAUCCAGGUCAGCUUGUGGUUUGUAUCAAAUAUAGCGUAGAUUUUGGUUUCGUUCAGUCGAGCUGUGGGUCAAGUCCAACAUCCAUCAUCAAUUUUCCAUCUUUAAGCCUUCCCUAACUCAGUCCAAAUUAUCUUCACUUUAUCUCGUUAAGCGUUAAAAAUAACUUACAACAAACGUACCAGAAUGUCUCACUAUACUGCUAACGCAAGUGACAAUUUUACCUAAAUUACCAUGGCCUUCGUUUCAGAUUCUUGUUCCAGGGCAUAAACAAAUUAGACCUUUUCUCUCACUCUUAUGGUGAUAGCAGAAUUCCGUGUUAAGAAGAAUUUACUUUAAUUUCUUAUCAGUGAUUUGCAAGCAGUGAUCUUCGGUCAAGUUCAGUACAGAAAGUAGGGUCAACAGUCCAGGAAUGAAAUCUUUUACCAUUCUGAUUUAUGGAGUCUGUCUCUGUUUAAAAUUUGAAGGGUUAAACCGAAAACUGCUUUGAUCUGUUAUACGGAUAUUAUGUAACUUAAACAAAUUAAGAACAUAGAAAAUAUUUUUAAUGAGCUGAAAGUGUAGGUGAUUUUGUUAAUGAUGUUGAUGGCUAUCAUAUAUUAAGCAUGUUAGCUUUUGUGCAAGAGAAAUGUAAAGGCGGUGCUUCGUUCCUACAUUAAUUUAAAGUAGCUCAGGCUACCUAGUAAAGAGCGAAACAAAACAUCCCUGUCUCUUAUCAUAGUUAGGCAAUAUCA
This 2696-nucleotide long non-coding RNA is filed under the name Orbicella faveolata. RNAcentral describes it as "uncharacterized LOC110054805". The record is from RNAcentral. Lineage: Eukaryota; Metazoa; Cnidaria; Anthozoa; Scleractinia; Merulinidae.